This 212-nucleotide ribosomal RNA is filed under the name uncultured prokaryote. Its description in RNAcentral is "partial 16S ribosomal RNA". It matches the Rfam family "Bacterial small subunit ribosomal RNA", at positions 524 to 735 of the family's 1533-position model. The record is from RNAcentral.
UACGAAGGGGGCUAGCGUUGCUCGGAAUCACUGGGCGUAAAGCGCACGUAGGCGGCUUCUUAAGUCAGGGGUGAAAUCCUGGAGCUCAACUCCAGAACUGCCUUUGAUACUGGAUGUCUUGAGUUCGGGAGAGGUGAGUGGAAUGCCGAGUGUAGAGGUGAAAUUCGUAGAUAUUCGGCGGAACACCAGUGGCGAAGGCGACUCACUGGCCC